UGUUCGAAUAAGACACAAGCUGGAUUUAGACGGGUAGAGAUCAAGAGAAGUCGAUAUGCUAAAAGUCAUUACAUUGUGGUCCAGAAUCUUUCAGCGCAAAAUCAAAGUCAAAG
This is a long non-coding RNA of Erpetoichthys calabaricus (reedfish), 113 nucleotides long. RefSeq lists it as uncharacterized. The record is from RefSeq and is a predicted model, not a curated record. NCBI's taxonomy places the organism in Eukaryota, Metazoa, Chordata, Cladistia, Polypteriformes, Polypteridae. The transcript is spliced from 2 exons.